RNAcentral lists this non-coding RNA (25 nucleotides) under Cricetulus griseus (Chinese hamster). Lineage: Eukaryota; Metazoa; Chordata; Mammalia; Rodentia; Cricetidae. The record is from RNAcentral.
AUCCUGUUCGUGACGACAUUCUCUG